UUACCAGGGCUUGACAUGUUAGAAGUAGGAACCCGAAACGGGGACGGACCAGUAUCCAAUCUGGAGCUAACACAGGUGCUGCAUGGCUGUCGUCAGCUCGUGUCGUGAGAUGUUCGGUUAAGUCCGCUAACGAGCGCAACCCUCGCUGUGUGUUAUAUGUGUCACACGGGACUGCCGGUCUUAAGCCGGAGGAAGGUGGGGAUGAUGUCAAGUCAGCAUGGCCUUUAUAUCCUGGGCUACACACACGCUACAAUGGCCAACACAAUAGGUUGCUAAGCCGCGAGGUGGCGCCAAUCCAUAAAGUUGGUCUCAGUUCAGAUUGUAGGCUGCAACCCGCCUGCAUGAAGAUGGAGUUGCUAGUAACCGCAGGUCAGCUAUACUGCGGUGAAUACGUUCCCGGGGCUU
This 405-nucleotide ribosomal RNA is filed under the name uncultured Leptolinea sp. RNAcentral describes it as "bacterial SSU rRNA". It matches the Rfam family "Bacterial small subunit ribosomal RNA", at positions 971 to 1382 of the family's 1533-position model. Lineage: Bacteria; Bacillati; Chloroflexota; Anaerolineae; Anaerolineales; Anaerolineaceae. The record is from RNAcentral.